UAUUGUUUAGCAGCUGGUAGUUAACCAUCUGCAGGUCCGCCAUAUUAACUCUUGUUUUUAAAAUUUAAAUAAAUCGAAAUAACUGGAAUAUAUGCCAACUGCUAUUUAUAUAACAUAUGAUUUCCAUUUGAGUAUUCAACUUAUGUUAAAUAGUGAAAGGUUGUAGAUUUCAAACUUUUGUAAUAUAAAUGUUAUUUGACCUUAAAUAUUUGUUUAUUGUGAACAAAAUUAAAAAAUGUUUAAAGUGUAAAAAAAUAUACGGGUGUGCUAGACUUCACGUACAUUUUAAGUUAUACCAGAAUUUAGCGCUAACCGAAUGUUGUGGCACCCUUCAUAAGUAAUAUAAACCAAAUUUAAUUAGAAAUGUUGAAUUAUUUACUGAAUUGCCAAUGUUUGUAGCUGUGUAAAAAUUUACAAUACAAUUUAGGAAGUACGUUUUACAUACAAUGUAUGUACAUACAUUAGUCGUUGAUUAUGUAUGAUUACUUGCAGAGACUGACAAGAAACUACAUAGAAUCUUACGUUCAUUUGUAUAAACUCUAUUGUUUAAUUGUAUUUCUUAUUUCGUUUGACUAAUGCAUGUUUUACUGAUUAAAUAACGUACAAUUCAUACACACAUAUGUAUGUACAUAUGUUUGAAAUGGCAUGGAGCUGUGAAUGUGCAUACGUAUUUUGCAUAUUUAUGUAUGUAAAAAUACAAUGCCGGAAAGAGGUCUAAGUUCGACCCUUAUUUAGGUUACUUAUGAUUAUGAUUUUUUAAAUUUAUAAUUUUAUUAUAAAAUGUGCUAAGCUCGUGUCCAAAAUAAAAUGAUUGGGAACUAAAGAUGAGUAUGCUAAACUCGUACUCCAAAAGUUAAAAAAAUAUUUUUUUAUUUGAUAUGGGUUACACUAAUAGUAACAAUAUUCAUUUAGCUAAAGUUCUAUAAAAAAUAACUAUCAUAGUUGAUAACUGGCAAAAAAAAAUUGUUUGACGAACACUGCAUAACAUUUUGGUUCGGUUACUUUAGGAAUACCGUUAGAAUGGAGAUAUUAUACAUACAUAUGUACAGUGACGAACUUAAGUGUUGGCACACUUAGCAUCUUGAACUUCAAGUGCGCUUUUCUACCUUUAUAAAUGUGUUAUAAAAUUCAACAAAAUUAUUUUGUAUAAGAGGAAUAUUUAACCAUCAACUUAAUUUUGUUUCAAUUAAUUGUCUCUUAAAACUAAAUUUUUUAAAUUAAAAACCAAAGAAUUAGCAGAUUUAGCUGUGCAAAAGACUUGGCACACUUGUGCUUUUUUUAACUAUUUCGUUAAAACUUAACCGAUUUGGUUGCUUUUUGUUGCCUAAUCCGCUUAUAUCUUAAGUGGUAUAAUGCUAAAUUGGUAUCAUAAAAUCGAUAAGUACCUUAAAUUACAUUAAAAAUGGUUAUAAAUAAAAAAAUUCCUGUCUCUUGGAAAAAUAAUAUUUUAUUUUCAGGAUCAGGGUCAGUUGUAUACUAACAUGAAUAAUAAAUAGGAUAAUAACAACCCUCAGAUCUACUCAGUUACAACAACGUUCAGACUGUCAAAAACAUUGCACUCCCAAAGCAAACCGUCGGUAUGGAUGAAGGCAAAUGGAACGACCCAAUAGCGUCAAAGUGCAUGUUAGGAUGGACUAUCCAGGGAUCAGCCAACUUAAACCGUCACGUAACUAUGCACCACUGCGAUUGCAACUGGCGAGAGCUUCACGAUGAAGUCAAAGAACAAUUCAACCUAGAGUCGAUUUCGCCUAAAAAACUGCUUUCAAGCGAGGACAAACGAGCAGUCGAAGUCCUAGAGCAGACUUGCCAAAUCAAAUGUGGCAAAUACGAAGUUGGUCUUCUUCGGCGGAAUGAUCUUCAAAAACUUCCCGAGAGUCGCACUAGAGCUCUAAAGCGCCUACAAUGCAUGAGAACCAGAAUUCUGAGCGAACCGGAUCUGUUUACAAAAAUCGACGACCAAAUCAAAAAUCUUUUUGCCAAAGGAUACCCCAAGCAACUAUCUGACGAGGAGGCGAAGAAAGAAGAAACUCGCUCUUGGUACUUUCCCAAAUUUAUAGUCCUAAAUCCGAAUAAGCCUGGAAAGAUAAGGCUGGUUUGGGAUGCAGUAGUAGAAACAAACGUAGUAUGCCUCAACGACUUUCUGUUAAGCGGGCCGGACUGCUUAAACUCACUCAUCAACGUUCUCCCAGCCUUCAGAGUCGGAACAGUCGCCGUAAGCGGCGACAUCGCCGAAAUGUUUCACAGGAUCAACAUAAGCCACGAAGACAUGCAUUCUCAGCGCUUUCUUUGGUAUGAUGUCAACCGAAAUAAGAUAAACACUUACGUCAUGCGUGCCAUGACCCUUGGUAUCAGUUGUGCACCAUUCAUAGGCCACUACGUGCGCGACAAAAAGUCCGUCAGGUUCUCAUGUCGAUUUUCGACCCCGAUUGGCGGCGCCUAUACAGAGCCGUCACAAACAUAUCUCUAUAUAUCCAGCGACUUCAAACUAAAUGCCAAUGGACAGACAUGCCGUCAGCAGUGACCGAAUUUCACGUCACAGAAGCGCAGACCCUACUAUACAAAGAAGCACAGAGGCUCGAGUUCACGGAUGAAAUCAUUCAUUGAUAAGUAAAUGGUGGUGAUGGACGAUAACGGAAUCGUUCGCACUAAAGGUCGAGUGAACGCAGUCGGAUAUACCAUGGACGCUAUAAUAUUGCCACCAGAGAGCCGAGUAACAUUCUUAUUAGUCCGGUUCUAUCACGAAAAAUAUCAUUACCUCGCUCACGAAACCGAAUGAUAUAAAAUCCAAAUUUUAUAUUCUGCGCCUAAGAGUACUGCACAAAUCCGUAAGAAAAGCCAGUUGUAUAAAAAAAGUUUCACGAAUUUCGUGGGACACCAAGAGAAAUUUAUUCCGAUAAUGGUACUAAUUUCAAGGCCACGGAGAAGACGUUACGAGAGGAGCUGAUCAAGAUCGACUUCGAUAAAAUUGCAAUCAAGUUCGACGGCAUUAAAUGGCAAUUUAACCCUCCAGGAGCCCCUGACAUGGGCGGUGCUUGGAAAAGAUUAGUCCGCACAACCAAAACAGUCCUAAAAAGCAUCUGCCCGAAUUAUUCAUUCAACGACGAAAGCCUGAGGUGUGCUCUAAUGGAAGCACGGUUAAUCAUAAACUCACGUCCGUUAACUUUCGUUAGCCUGGACUCCGAGGACGACUCCGCGCUGACUCCAAACCACCUGCUAAUGGGUUCAUCGAAUGGGUACAAGCCAAUCAAGGAAAAGAAGAUGAAUUUAAGACGUCAUUGGAACGAUAUAAAACUUUUUGGAGAUCACUUUUGGCAACGCUGGGUGAAGGAGCUUACACCGGUACUUACUAGACGAACAAAAUGGUUCGAAAGAUGUCCCCCUAUAUCAGUCGGAAGCGUAGUCAUUAUCGUCGACGAAAACUUACCUAGAAAUGUAUGGCUUAAGGGCCGCGUGACCAACACUAUCCCCGCCAAGGACGAACAAGUUCGUCGAGCCACUAUUAAAACGCAGCAUGGGGUCCUCGAUCGACCAGCCACCAUGAUUGCGGUAUUAGAUGUCGGCUUAGAAGAUGAACCAUCCCUAGAACCGGGAGAAGCAAAAGAAGAGAAAAAAAGACAAAGUUUUUAAGCGUGCUCCGCAACGCCAAAUGUAAUACACAUUGAUUCGGAAGCUGAAAUUGAAAUAAAGUUUAUUUCAAAAACGUAGUUUACCGCUAUCCGUCUGUGCCUUCAAUUUGGUAGUGUGGGCUGCUGUAAAACCAAUUCAGUUUCGCUCUCGACAAUAAUAUUGUCAUAUUAAAGGGUAUUUGGUAUCGAGUGUAUUUGGUAUCGCUAAUCUGAGGCACUGUUGUUGUAGAUGAAAGUGUCCAUGAAAUUUUGUUUAAUUUUGUAGACGAUAAGCAAUGCAAAAUGGUGAAAUAAUGGAAGACAAAUUCUCAAUAAAGGUUUUAAUGUUUUACUUUCA
Drosophila suzukii is the source of this 3963-nucleotide non-coding RNA. The record is from RefSeq and is a predicted model, not a curated record. Lineage: Eukaryota; Metazoa; Arthropoda; Insecta; Diptera; Drosophilidae.